RNAcentral lists this ribosomal RNA (449 nucleotides) under uncultured bacterium. Its description in RNAcentral is "partial 16S ribosomal RNA". It matches the Rfam family "Bacterial small subunit ribosomal RNA", at positions 29 to 523 of the family's 1533-position model. The record is from RNAcentral.
AACGAACGCUGGCGGCAUGCCUAACACACGCAAGUCGAACGAGAUCUUCGGGUCUAGUGGCGCACGGGUGCGUAACGCGUGGGAAUCUGCCCUUUGGUUCGGAAUAACAGUUGGAAACGACUGCUAAUACCGGAUGAUGACGAAAGUCCAAAGAUUUAUCGCCAGAGGAUGAGCCCGCGUAGGAUUAGCUAGUUGGUGUGGUAAAGGCGCACCAAGGCGACGAUCCUUAGCUGGUCUGAGAGGAUGAUCAGCAACACUGGGACUGAGACACGGCCCAGACUCCUACGUGAGGCAGCAGUGGGGAAUAUUGGACAAUGGGCGAAGGCCUGAUCCAGCAAUGCCGCGUGAGUGAUGAAGGCCUUAGGGUUGUAAAGCUCUUUUACCCGGGAUGAUAAUGACAGUACCGGGAGAAUAAGCUCCGGCUAACUCCGUGCCAGCAGCCGCCGUAA